AUGCCUAGUUGUGGUUUCAUUAUCAUCAACUUGCUCUUUGUUGUAUUCGUAUUCUUCCAGAGUUAUGUUCAUCUUCGUUUUCUUCAACCUCUUCAUCCACUUCUUUGUUCGCGAGAUUUGGAAAUGGAAAACGCAACGUAUGUAUCAAGGCUAGCACCUGUUCAAACUAUCAGGCUUAGAAUACACCAUAAGGGGGAAUUGACUACUCAUCCUAUGAACUGGUAUGUUAGUGAAACAUCGUCUGAAAUGAACUGGACUGAUAUGUGGACUUAA
Non-coding RNA from Vicia faba (fava bean), 273 nucleotides. Lineage: Eukaryota; Viridiplantae; Streptophyta; Magnoliopsida; Fabales; Fabaceae. The record is from the annotation of a GenBank genome assembly.